CAAUAUGCAACUCUGUCUCUCUGUUCCACCUGAAUCAGGAGAGGCAGCUGAGGUGUUAGACCACAGUGGCUUGGAGGCAGUGAUGGGCUGGGUGUGGGCCAAUAAAUGGAAGCUGAAUCCUGAAAAGAGAAAGGUGAUUAAACCCAUGGCCUCCCCUGCUGAAGGGUCUGCCUAUCUUUGAGAACUUUCAGGCCAGAUUCACAACCCAUGUGGGACAACGAGGAAGCUGAUCUAAGGUGAUGUAAUGUGGCAAGAAGUUGUCUGAAAUUUUGUGAGUCAGGCUUGAACCCCUCUAGCAGGCAAAGCUCUCUGGGUACCAGGGAAAGGCUACAGGACUCCUUAUGUUUAAACCAGACAUGGACUGGGCAGAUGAUUAAAUAGAGGAUGCUUCCAAAUGGAGAACUGCCUUUGAUGAAGUAGGGCACAUGGCCACUCUCUGACUGGGCCCAUCAUGUGGUAUGAGGGAGGAGGAUGAGGGCAUCCGGGUGGAGCUGAGCUCAAGCCAAGUUGAAAGGAAGAUGGGGAGGACCUCCGACUGGUUCCCCGCUCUCCACUCCUCCCCUGCUCUGCUUCCAAACUCCAAAUGCGUCAGAGGAGGGGUGUGUGUGUCAAACAGUGCUCCUCUCUGCUUCCUUCAGGCCAGCUGUCAAGGAAUUGUUGUCAUUAAUGCUGCUUGGAAAAACCCUGUUGUUCAAAUAAUAAAAUACAGUGGUACCUCGGUUUAAGAACA
Molecule: long non-coding RNA, 730 nt
Organism: Podarcis raffonei (Aeolian wall lizard)
Lineage: Eukaryota; Metazoa; Chordata; Lepidosauria; Squamata; Lacertidae
Exons: 4
Source: RefSeq, a predicted model, not a curated record